AAUAGCCGCAGUACACUAACUGUGCAAAGGUAGCAAAAUAAUUUGUCUUUUAAUUGAAGACUGGUAUGAAUGGUCUGACGAGGAAAUAUCUGUCUCAAAAUUUUAAUUUUAAAUUAACAUAUAAGUAAAAAGGCUUAUAUACAUCAGCAAGACGACAAGACCCUAUAAAACUUAACCCUUUAAUUUACAGAAAUUCUCAGAAAACAAAAUAUAGAAAGGUUUAAACUGGGGCGGUGUUUUAUAUAACCUAUAACUAUACAAUUCCCACCAUAUAUUAAUGAAUCAAUAAAUCUUACAUAAAACCUAAAAAAAAGUUACUUUAGGGAUAACAGCAUAAUACUCUUAGAGAGUUCAAAUCGACAAGAGUGAUUAUGACCUCGAUGUUGAAUUGGGAAAUCA
Molecule: ribosomal RNA, 399 nt
Filed under: Eophreatoicus balbun
Lineage: Eukaryota; Metazoa; Arthropoda; Malacostraca; Isopoda; Amphisopidae
Description: partial 16S ribosomal RNA
Rfam family: Bacterial large subunit ribosomal RNA
Source: RNAcentral